This 604-nucleotide ribosomal RNA is filed under the name uncultured bacterium. RNAcentral describes it as "bacterial SSU rRNA". The stretch from base 1 to 522 matches the Rfam family "Bacterial small subunit ribosomal RNA", at positions 338 to 873 of the family's 1533-position model. The record is from RNAcentral.
CCUACGGGAGGCAGCAGUGGGGAAUUUUCCGCAAUGGGCGCAAGCCUGACGGAGCAACGCCGCGUGAGGGAUGAAGGCCUCUGGGCUGUAAACCUCUUUUCUCAAGGAAGAAGACCUGACGGUACUUGAGGAAUAAGCCACGGCUAAUUCCGUGCCAGCAGCCGCGGUAAUACGGGAGUGGCAAGCGUUAUCCGGAAUUAUUGGGCGUAAAGCGUCCGCAGGCGGCCUAUUAAGUCUGUCGUUAAAGCGUGGAGCUCAACUCCAUUUAAGCGAUGGAAACUGGAAGGCUAGAGUGUGGUAGGGGCAGAGGGAAUUCCCGGUGUAGCGGUGAAAUGCGUAGAUAUCGGGAAGAACACCAGUGGCGAAGGCGCUCUGCUGGGCCAUAACUGACGCUCAUGGACGAAAGCCAGGGGAGCGAAAGGGAUUAGAUACCCCUGUAGUCCUGGCCGUAAACGAUGAACACUAGGUGUACGGGGAAUCCGACCCCGUCGGUGUCGUAGCUAACGCGUUAAGUGUUCCGCCGUGGGUAGGUACGCGCGCGAGUGUGAACACAAGAAGUAGACGGCGNGAGACGNGCCGACGGACGACGACGACGGGAGGUAGG